CGGUGGGUCGGCCUUCUCUUCUUCCCUGACUUCAACGGGUGCGGGUGCUUCAAUCGGUGGGUCGGCCUUCUCUUCUUCCUUGACUUCAACGGGUGCGGGUGCUUCAGUUUCGACUUUUACUUCAGUUUCAGCAGCAGAAGUGGCAGGUUGGUCUUCCUCUUUCUUUUCCUCGGGAGCUGGUUUAUCUUUAUCUUUGGCAGGAGGGGGUGUGAAUUCGUGCUUGUUAAGGGCUUCUUGAAUAAGUUGCUUAAGCUCAUCAAGAGCCUUCUUUUGUGGGUCAGGAAGUUCACCGGCUAUAUUGGUUUCUUCUUUGAAAGAAGCAGACUCAGUUACCUUAGUGUCCUUAGCUUCAACCUUAGGCUCCUCCUCAACAGCCUCAGCAGGUUUGUCUUCAACAACAGCAUCAGUAGGCUUCUCGGAAGCAGCCUCCUGUUCACUCUCCUUCUCCACCACCACUUCCUCAGCAGGAGCAGGGGGUGCAGCAGCUUCAGGCUUUUGAGUCUCCUCAGCCAUGUAUGAGAUUGUAAA
This 528-nucleotide long non-coding RNA is filed under the name Gossypium barbadense (sea-island cotton). RNAcentral's name for it is "long non-coding RNA (GBAR_LNC022489)". Lineage: Eukaryota; Viridiplantae; Streptophyta; Magnoliopsida; Malvales; Malvaceae. The record is from RNAcentral.